GCCCUAGUAACGGCGAGUGAAGCGGCAACAGCUCAAAUUUGAAAUCUGGCUCUUUCAGAGUCCGAGUUGUAAUUUGCAGAGGGCGCUUUGGCGUUGGCAGCGGUCCAAGUUCUUUGGAACAGGACGUCACAGAGGGUGAGAAUCCCGUACGUGGUCGCUAGCCUUCGCCGUGUAAAGCCCCUUCGACGAGUCGAGUUGUUUGGGAAUGCAGCUCUAAAUGGGAGGUAAAUUUCUUCUAAAGCUAAAUACUGGCCAGAGACCGAUAGCGCACAAGUAGAGUGAUCGAAAGAUGAAAAGCACUUUGGAAAGAGAGUCAAAUAGCACGUGAAAUUGUUGAAAGGGAAGCGCUUGCAGCCAGACUUGCCUGUAGUUGCUUAUCUGGACUUUUGUCCAGUGCACUCUUCUGCGGGCAGGCCAGCAUCAGUUUGGGCGGUUGGAUAAAGGUCUCUGUCAUGUACCUCCUUUCGGGGAGGCCUUA
RNAcentral lists this ribosomal RNA (478 nucleotides) under Parastagonospora nodorum. RNAcentral's name for it is "partial large subunit ribosomal RNA". It matches the Rfam family "Eukaryotic large subunit ribosomal RNA", at positions 77 to 559 of the family's 3401-position model. Lineage: Eukaryota; Fungi; Ascomycota; Dothideomycetes; Pleosporales; Phaeosphaeriaceae. The record is from RNAcentral.